The sequence is a ribosomal RNA, 287 nucleotides long. The stretch from base 106 to 287 matches the Rfam family "Eukaryotic small subunit ribosomal RNA", at positions 738 to 919 of the family's 1831-position model.
CUCAGGCGCAGGCGGGCGGUCCGGCUCGCGCCGGCUCACUGCCCGUAUCUCCUGCCCUACCGUCUGUCGGCUCUCUCCCGCGGGUGCUCUUCACUGAGCGUCCCGGGUGGCCGACGCGUUUACUUUGAAAAAAUUAGAGUGUUCAAAGCAGGCCUCGCUGCCUGAAUAAUGGUGCAUGGAAUAAUGGAAUAGGACCUCGGUUCUAUUUUGUUGGUUUUCGGAAUUGGAGGUAAUGAUUAACAGGGACAAACGGGGGCAUUCGUAUUGCUGCGUUAGAGGUGAAAUUC